Molecule: ribosomal RNA, 253 nt
Filed under: uncultured bacterium
Lineage: Bacteria
Description: partial 16S ribosomal RNA
Rfam family: Bacterial small subunit ribosomal RNA
Source: RNAcentral
UACGUAGGUGACAAGCGUUGUCCGGAUUUACUGGGCGUAAAGAGCGCGCAGGCGGUCGAUCAAGUCGAGUGUGAAAGCCCCCGGCUCAACUGGGGAGGGUCAUUCGAUACUGAUCGACUCGAAGGCAGGAGAGGGUAGUGGAAUUCCCGGUGUAGUGGUGAAAUGCGUAGAUAUCGGGAGGAACACCUGUGGCGAAAGCGGCUCACUGGACAGUAACUGACGCUGAUGCACGAAAGCUAGGGGAGCAAACAGG